CCAAGGUUUCACCUAAGGAAGGAACACUAAUAAUUAAAAUAAGUGAUUAACUUCAAGGGACCCCUCCAAAGAUUGGCAUGUCAAAUUUACAACAGUUAAGAGAGUUGAGAAAAAUGAGAUAGAUAUCGUCGUUUUAUAUUGUUAAAAGUGGUAAUUCUAGCAAUAUAAUUCAUUGUUAAUUUUUAAAGAAACGGUUUUCAGCUGAAAAGAGUACAGCUGGACAAGGUAAACACGAUGAAAAGAUUUUUUAGAAAAUCUAAGCAGGAUGUUUCUAUCACAGACGAGGAAGCUACGUUAGACAACAUUCUUAAGGAUAAAAGUGCCGAGAAAAA
This is a long non-coding RNA of Eurytemora carolleeae, 332 nucleotides long. RefSeq lists it as uncharacterized. NCBI's taxonomy places the organism in Eukaryota, Metazoa, Arthropoda, Copepoda, Calanoida, Temoridae. The record is from RefSeq and is a predicted model, not a curated record. The transcript is spliced from 3 exons.